This 512-nucleotide ribosomal RNA is filed under the name Vibrio coralliilyticus. RNAcentral's name for it is "bacterial SSU rRNA". It matches the Rfam family "Bacterial small subunit ribosomal RNA", at positions 1031 to 1533 of the family's 1533-position model. The record is from RNAcentral. Lineage: Bacteria; Pseudomonadati; Pseudomonadota; Gammaproteobacteria; Vibrionales; Vibrionaceae.
GAGACAGGUGCUGCAUGGCUGUCGUCAGCUCGUGUUGUGAAAUGUUGGGUUAAGUCCCGCAACGAGCGCAACCCUUAUCCUUGUUUGCCAGCGAGUAAUGUCGGGAACUCCAGGGAGACUGCCGGUGAUAAACCGGAGGAAGGUGGGGACGACGUCAAGUCAUCAUGGCCCUUACGAGUAGGGCUACACACGUGCUACAAUGGCGCAUACAGAGGGCGGCCAACUUGCGAAAGUGAGCGAAUCCCAAAAAGUGCGUCGUAGUCCGGAUUGGAGUCUGCAACUCGACUCCAUGAAGUCGGAAUCGCUAGUAAUCGUAGAUCAGAAUGCUACGGUGAAUACGUUCCCGGGCCUUGUACACACCGCCCGUCACACCAUGGGAGUGGGCUGCAAAAGAAGUGGGUAGUUUAACCUUCGGGGGGACGCUCACCACUUUGUGGUUCAUGACUGGGGUGAAGUCGUAACAAGGUAGCGCUAGGGGAACCUGGCGCUGGAUCACCUCCUUAUACGAUGAU